UUGACAUCAGGCUGUAGGUUGACAUCAGGUUGUAGGUUGACAUCAGGUUGUAGAUUGACAUCAGGUUGUAGGGUUGACAUCAGGUUGUAGGGUUGACAUCAGGCUGUAGAUUGACAUCAGGCUGUAGGUUGACAUCAGGUUGUAGAUUGACAUCAGGCUGUAGGUUGACAUCAGGUUGUAGAUUGACAUCAGGUUGUAGGGUUGACAUCAGGUUGUAGAUUGACAUCAGGUUGUAGGGUUGACAUCAGGUUGUAGGGUUGACAUCAGGCUGUAGAUUGACAUCAGGCUGUAGGUUGACAUCAGGCUGUAGGUUGACAUUAGGUUGUAGGUUGACAUCAGGCUGUAGGUUGACAUCAGGUUGUAGAUUGACAUCAGGUUGUAGGGUUGACAUCAGGUUGUAGGGUUGACAUCAGGCUGUAGAUUGACAUCAGGCUGUAGAUUGACAUCAGGUUGUAGAUUGACAUCAGGCUGUAGGUUGACAUCAGGCUGUAGAUUGACAUCAGGUUGUAGGUUGACAUCAGGUUGUAGAUUUACAUCAGGUUGUAGGGUUGACAUCAGGUUGUAGGUUGACAUCAGGCUGUAGGGUUGACAUCAGGCUGUAGGUUGACAUCAGGUUGUAGGGUUGACAUCAGGUUGUAGGGUUGACAUCAGGUUGUAGAUUGACAUCAGGUUGUAGAUUGACAUCAGGUUGUAGGGUUGACAUCAGGUUGUAGGGUUGACAUCAGGUUGUAGGGUUGACAUCAGGCUGUAGGGUUGACAUCAGG
Molecule: long non-coding RNA, 764 nt
Organism: Oncorhynchus keta (chum salmon)
Lineage: Eukaryota; Metazoa; Chordata; Actinopteri; Salmoniformes; Salmonidae
Exons: 5
Source: RefSeq, a predicted model, not a curated record